Molecule: small nuclear RNA, 148 nt
Filed under: Microtus ochrogaster (prairie vole)
Lineage: Eukaryota; Metazoa; Chordata; Mammalia; Rodentia; Cricetidae
Description: U1 spliceosomal RNA (ENSMOCG00000004543.1)
Source: RNAcentral
UAUCUUGCCAGGCAGUAGAGAUUCCAUGAUGGAGAAGGUAAUUUUCCAAGGGCAAGGCUCAUGCAUUGCACUUGGGGUGUGCAGACCCCUUUCAAUUUUUCUCCACUAGGGGUUCCCUGCAAAAUAGAAGCAAUUAAAAAUGUUUUAA